UUUCAGUAAAAGAGAAUUAAUGACAACUCUGCAUAUCCCACAUCCUGAAAUUCAAGACUUGCUCUUCAACUUCUGUUGGAUUGACACAUUUUAUUUUGGACCUGCCAAAUUGUCAACGACUCACCUCUCUGCCCUAGGCCUUUCUUUGAUUCUGUUAAUCCCACAGAAACAGAAGCUUCAGGACAUCCAAAGACUGAGAGCAGGCAAAGACCCUUUGUCCCGGUCUAAGACAAAGCUAAGCAAUUUCCAAACAUAGCCCAACCACUUCCAGCCUUCUGCCCAAGAUGAAGGUCAUGGAGGUUUGCCCAUACCAGUGGGAAAUGUGGAGCUGGGACCCAAGGACAUCUUCUCAGCCAGCCACCGUGCAUGUGACUUCCCUGGUUGAUCCAGCCAACUGCAGGACCAAGAUAUUUCUAGUGCAAGAUAGGAGAGAUGAGUAAUAGAGACCACAGCCCUUGGAAACCUUGAUCAAGUAGAAUAAGAACACCUUCCUCAGCUCUCUUUGCAAGUGGCCAAAGCUUAGUGGCUCUGGGAGAAAAAUUCAACAGGAAAACCUACAGAAGUGCCUUGAGAAAGGACCACAGUAGCCUCUUCUAAGCCAAAUUGAGUAAAUAAAAAUGAGUGCUAUUAAAAUAUCCAAUUAAUCUAAAC
RNAcentral lists this long non-coding RNA (651 nucleotides) under Equus caballus (horse). RNAcentral's name for it is "lncRNA (ENSECAG00000038004.3)". Lineage: Eukaryota; Metazoa; Chordata; Mammalia; Perissodactyla; Equidae. The record is from RNAcentral.